GCCCGACUAGCUCACCGGUAGAGCGCCUCACUAGUAUGAUCUCCUGUCCCGUCCGAACUUCAGAGGUCCUGGCCUAAAGGCGAUACAUACCCCGUAAUGAGGAGGCAACAGGUUCGACUCCUGUGUUGGGCA
Molecule: non-coding RNA, 132 nt
Organism: Hypoxylon fragiforme
Lineage: Eukaryota; Fungi; Ascomycota; Sordariomycetes; Xylariales; Hypoxylaceae
Source: the annotation of a RefSeq genome assembly